Molecule: microRNA precursor, 67 nt
Filed under: Bombyx mori (domestic silkworm)
Lineage: Eukaryota; Metazoa; Arthropoda; Insecta; Lepidoptera; Bombycidae
Description: mir-2774 microRNA precursor family
Rfam family: mir-2774 microRNA precursor family
Source: Rfam by way of RNAcentral
ACAACGUUCGGACCGUCGGUCUACCGAGCAAUAUCACCCGCUCGGUGGAAGAUCUCUCCUUUGUCGU